This 465-nucleotide long non-coding RNA is filed under the name Haliotis rubra (blacklip abalone). RNAcentral describes it as "uncharacterized LOC124259153". The record is from RNAcentral. Lineage: Eukaryota; Metazoa; Mollusca; Gastropoda; Lepetellida; Haliotidae.
GACAUUCAAAUCGUUUAUUCUCUCCUGGAUAAACGUAGCUGGCAAGAUGCACCUUCUUAACGUUGCAGUGGUUGUAGUCUUGGUCUUCCUUGGGUCCGCCCUUGCUGGCCAUGGUGGUGGUGGUGGCGGCGGCCAUGGAGGCGGAGGCCAUGGAGGUGGAGGCCAUGGUGGUGGAGGCCAUGGUGGUGGUGGUGGUGGUGGUCACGGAGGUGGUGGUCACGGAGGCGGAGGACACGGAGGUGGCGGCCAUGGAGGUGGUCAUGGAGGUGGUGGUCAUGGAGGUGGAGGCCAUGGAGGUGGUGGUCAUGGAGGCGGACACCACGGGUAAAACAUCCGAGGAUCAUCAUAUUGCCAUCAGAUGCUGGACAUUUGAUAUCGUAUUGGUCGAUUCCACUCACUGUGAUGUAUCCACCCAAUCUGUAUAUUCCUCAUUGAAUACAAAUAAAGCUUUGAGUUAUAUUGUAA